Molecule: RNA transcript, 4686 nt
Organism: Melospiza melodia melodia
Lineage: Eukaryota; Metazoa; Chordata; Aves; Passeriformes; Passerellidae
Gene: TMEM116
Gene name: transmembrane protein 116
Exons: 12
Source: RefSeq, a predicted model, not a curated record
GCGGCGGUGGCGGCGGUACCCAUGGCCCUGCCGGCGGAGGCGGACCGGCUGGAUGGGGGCUGGCAGGAGGUCUACUCCGCGCUCCAGUGGAUCCAGUUCACCAUGGCCAUGCUCAGCGUUGUAGGUUCCAGCUCAAUUAUUGCCUACGCCGUCUUCCAAAACGCAGUGCGGUCCCCUGAGGUGCGUCCACUUUUCUACCUGAGCCUCUCAGAUCUGCUGCUGGGCAUGUGCUGGCUGGCUGGGGCCCUGCUCUACAGCUCACCCACCUCCCAGCAGGACCUCAUCUGCUACAACCUGCAGGCCACGGGACAGAUAUUCUACGUGGCCUCUUUUCUCUACACUGUCAACUACACCUGGCACCUGUACAUGGACCUCAAGGUGAAAUACAACCAGAACCUGUUCAGGGUGCCCCCCCAGGUUGUAGAUUAUGCAAGUUGUGUUGGCCGAAUAGCAACGAUCUUGUCAAGCCUGAUCCCUUUCCUCCUCAUGGUGCCGGUGUUCUGCCUGGGCAACAGCAGUAAUUGCUACCAGAACUUCAGCCAGAAGCACGGGUGUCUCCUGAUGCACACGGAGGUGGCCGAGCCCCCCAGCGCGCCGCAGGGCCUGAGCGGCUCCGUUUGCCGCGCCAUGCAUUUCUACGGCGUCGGCGUCUUCCUCGUCUCCUUCCUCAUCAGCUUCGUGGCCAUCCUGGUUAUCCUGAGUCAGGCCCGGGGGCUGUACAAGAGGUUUGUGAACUCCACAGGGUUCCUGGGGGAUCAACAGUGGGCCAUGAUUAAGAUGGUGGAACAAAGGGUGGUUUUCUACCCCAUUGCCUUCUUCUGCUGCUGGGCCCCAGCUGUGCUCCUUGGGGUGCUGAAACUGACUGCUUCAACAACCAGCAAAAUCUACAUGGCUCUGCUGAUCCUGCAGGCUCUCACCGCAGCUUCCCAGGGGCUGCUGAACUGCCUGGUGUACGGCUGGACCCAGCACGUGUUCCUGUCCCUCAAGCGCGGCUCCCGCCGGGAUGUGGACACGCAGACCCCGCUCCUGCGCUCCCAGAAGAAAUUCUACUCCAGCACAGCCCCCUCGGGCCCGCCCGACCCCGCGGGCUCCUCCUCCACCCUGCUCUGAUGCAGCCCGGCCUGCCCGGAGAGAGGCAGAGUCCUCCCAACUCCUCGUUCUGCAGAGCCGGGAUGGACCCGUCCCCGCGGGGCUGGCAGAGCCAGGCGCUCAGUGGACAUAGUUAUUUAUUUAAUGGAUUCUUUCAGCGUGGUAAAUCUUUAGUCCAGACUUUCUCCUCCUGGGAAUAUCCCUAGAAAUGCAGCAAAACCCAUGUAAAGGCUCAGAGACCUGGUGCAGCUCCAUGGAGGUUGGAGCUCCUAAGGAGCUUUUUUUACUUUGUUUUACUUUGUUUUAUUUCUCCAAGUCGUUGCCUUUACAAAUUAACAGAAAGCAAAAUGAGUAUUUUUCAAUCUCUGCCUUUUAAUUCACUCUGUGAGAAUUUGCACCACCCUAAGAAGCAAUUGCAGGGAGUGAAGAAUUGCAAAGGACAAAAGCUGCCUGGAAUUCUGCACAUUUCCCUUUCCUUCUCCCAGCCAACUCCUGCCCAGCCACAAUAACUCCCCAAAAUCAGCUGCUUCGACCCUGUGGAGCAUCUCUCAUGAACCAGCUUCACUUUUUGGGUCCAACCCAAAUUUUUCUCAUAGCAGGUUAGACAAGAGGAGGAAAUACUCCAGCUUUGUGUAAUUAACUUACACAACUGUGUAAACUCUGGGUAAGUCACACAAGGGCCCUGAAGGUUUGGUCAAUGACUUAUUUCCUCCUACAGAGUGAGACGGAGUGAAACAAUUCAAUUUUGCUGUUUUAAAGGAUAAAACCAAAGUUUUCAGCCAUCUUCUUCCCUCUGGUCCUUCAAAUCCUCCUCUAGUCCCAAAGUUUGGAUAUGGGUGACUCUGUGUUUCCCCAGCCCCACUUCAAAGGCAAAUAUUCCACAGGCAGGGUGGGAUUUGUGCCCUGGCACUGGCAGGGCAUGAAACAAAGCCAGCCUCAUCCCUGAGAGCCUCCUGCACCCUCCUGGGACUGACCCCGUUUGUGGAGCCAGUGCAAUUUGUUUAAAAGGGGAUUAAGGCUUCCUAAGUGAUGGAAGAUUACCCAGGGAGCAAUGAUUGGAUUGCUAAUGGAGCAUCAGGGCUGGCAGUGGGUGCUGACAGAGUCCCAGGGCUCCUCAGAAUGCAGAAAUCACUCAGAGUUUGUUUGAGGGGAGUUUUUUUGCUGGGUUGGCUGCUCCAAGUGCUCCCAGGAAAUAAAUUGUUCCCUCAGUCCCUUUCCCAGUCUGGAGGCUCUGAGGGUCACUCACCACCCAACCCACUCUGAACUCCCCCAAGGCACCAAGCAGGGGCAAAUUCUCUGACAAGGAAGGAGCCUGAGCCCUCACACCUGCCCCAGCUCGUGUCCUGAAAUGCUCCUGGCUGUGUCUGGUUCCUGUCACCUCGAGGAUAACAAAAAUAUUUCCAGAGGCAGGAAGGGCCCAAAUGCCACCCUGAGGCUCUUUCCUUAAAGAAAGAGAUGGGAGGGAAGCCCUCCCUGUGCCUGGAACAGCUCAGGGCCAUCAGCAGCACAGCAGAUCCAUUUCUGAGCACCCAGUGUCCCCCAGUCCCAGCAGGGCUCCCACCUCAAGGAUCUGGCUCCUAUUCCCAGUGUCCCAAAGACAGAAGGACUCAUCCCUCCCUUCCCUGAGUGCCCAGUCCAGCCCCCAGGGGUUCACUGGGAGCACUGGGCAGGUGCUGCUGCCAUCUGAUGCAAAGCUGGGCUAAAAAAAGGCAAUUUUGGGUUGUGCUGCCAAGCAGAGCCCAGGAUUGCCCAGGGAUUUACCCAGCCUCAAAUCCUCAUUCAAGUGUUUGUUCCCAUGGAUCAGGGAGGUGGGAUGGGGGUGAGGGUGGUGGAAUAAUGGAAUCAUGGAAUCUCUAAGGCUGGAAAAGCCCUCUAAGAUAAUAAAAUCCAAAAAUUAACCCAGCACCACUAACCACACCCCAAAGUGCUGCACCCACACCUUCUGGAAACUUCCAGGGAAAAGCAGAAUCCUGCUGCUCUUCCCUCCUGCUCCUUCCUUCUUCUCUCUGCAGGGAUUUGGGAACCAAACAAAACCAGGCAGGAACUUUUGAGUUUAGUAAAAUCAUUUAUAUACAGGAUGGGUAAUAUUUACAAUGUAAUACUGAUCCAAAAGGAACUAACAGGGAACACUGAGAGGAGAAGUGAGAACAUUUUAACACACAGGAGUUAAACAUGGGCACAGACUCGAGUUUCCAAAAGAAAAUCCAGAAGUAAUGACAGCAAAAGUUUGACAUGUUGCUAUUUCCAAUCAAAAUCUCUUUCACUAAUCAGGUUCUCCUAAUUUUAAUAGAUAUAGAAAAGCUUCAAAAAAUCAAAUCACAGGAGAAGCCAGUUAUACAGAAAAUUUUGAAAAGGUCAAAUGAUUUCAGAUAUUUUUCUUCACUUAAAUAAAAUUCUAAAAAAAACCCAAAACCCAACAACCUCCAGAGCUUUCACACAUAUUUUUAGUGUUUGUACAAAGAAAUUCUUCUUUGAUCCCACACUUCCAGCUCGAGAUAUUUACAAUAUUCACAGUCUGCUACAAAGGAUCAGUAGAUUUAUUACCAAGUCAAGCCUCAGAGAAUCAAGACAAGGUGUCUUGCACUUGCUUCAACUGAAAAAUCAACUAAACCCAGGAAGGAGAAAAUCAAAUGCUACUUUCAAACACAUAAAUGAAUCCAUUAAAGUUAUUGAACUUUGAAAUGUAAAACAGAACUUUUCAAAGAGUAAAAAAAUCAACUUUCUCAUAGAAACAAAACCAUUUGACCUUGAGUCUUCAAAUUGUGUUUUCUUAAUCUGUCCCUCCUCCCUCUGCUUCAAAUCAGGCUCUUAUUAUUUAUCACAGACAAGAAAAUGGAGAUUAAAUCCAUCAAAAGCAACUUGUGGCAAAAGCCCUUGGAAAUUUGUACAGAUGUUCCCACCUCAGGAUCAGCAGCACUUGAGGGAUGAAGAACAGGAGGAAUCCUCUAACACACAUCAGAUCCCACCUUCCUCUCUGACUGCACUUCCAAUAAAUUCUGACUCCCAAAAUCUGCCUGAGGAUUUUCCUGCUGGGAGGGCAGAGUCACAAAGUGCUUUUGGAGGGGAUUUUUUGCUCUGCCAUUCAAACAAAGGUGAUUUCCUUGUUUCCAUCUCUAUCUGCCACACUUGAAAGUUUCAAUUCCUCAGAAAAAAACAUGGAUUUCAAGUUCAAAAUGAAACUAUUUCAAGACAUGACCUAGAAUUAGAGCAAGGACAGAAAUGCACAUAACAGGGCUUGAUGGUACAGCCAAAAAAAGUGACAAAAACUCUCAAUUUUUGCUACUUCUCUUCAGUUUUCAUCAAGAGGUCAGUGCACAAAUAUUCCAGGUAAUGUCAGAGGUGUUUACAAACACUCCCUGCUCCCAUCAGAGCAUGGAUAAGCAGGGACUGUUCUUACCCUGCAUUGGAAAAAACUGUCCACAGGAUUAGGGAAAGCUGACAGAGAACAGGAAACAAAACAUCUCCUUCAUGUAGAAAAAACAAGUCACUGUUUAGAAAAUUGUAUAGAAAGAGUCAGACACUGCUUUGCCAUCCAGCUAAAGCUGCAAGGAAAUUUUGGUAUAGAAAAGAGACAAAAAAAAAAAAAAAAAACAACAA